Molecule: ribosomal RNA, 253 nt
Filed under: uncultured bacterium
Lineage: Bacteria
Description: partial 16S ribosomal RNA
Rfam family: Bacterial small subunit ribosomal RNA
Source: RNAcentral
GACGAAGGGGGCCAGCGUUGUUCGGAAUUACUGGGCGUAAAGCACAUGUAGGCGGAUUGUUAAGUCAGGGGUGAAAGCCCGAGGCUCAACCUCGGAAUUGCCUUUGAUACUGGCAACCUUGAGUGCGGGAGAGGUGAGUGGAAUUCCCAGUGUAGAGGUGAAAUUCGUAGAUAUUGGGAAGAACACCAGUGGCGAAGGCGGCUCACUGGCCCGUAACUGACGCUGAGAUGCGAAAGCGUGGGGAGCAAACAGG